RNAcentral lists this ribosomal RNA (250 nucleotides) under uncultured prokaryote. RNAcentral describes it as "partial 16S ribosomal RNA". It matches the Rfam family "Bacterial small subunit ribosomal RNA", at positions 524 to 774 of the family's 1533-position model. The record is from RNAcentral.
UACGUAUGGGGCAAGCGUUAUCCGGAAUUAUUGGGCGUAAAGCGUGCGUAGGUGGUUACCUAAGCGCAAGGUUUAAUCUUGAGGCUCAACCUCAUUCUGCCUUGCGAACUGGGCUACUUGAGUGCAGGAGGGGAAAGCGGAAUUCCCUGUGUAGCGGUGAAAUGCGUAGAUAUAAGGAAGAACGCCGGUGGCGAAGGCGGCUUUCUGGACUGCAAUUGACACUGAGGCACGAAAGCGUGGGGAGCAAACA